RNAcentral lists this small nuclear RNA (78 nucleotides) under Caenorhabditis remanei. RNAcentral describes it as "SmY spliceosomal RNA". It matches the Rfam family "SmY spliceosomal RNA". The record is from Rfam by way of RNAcentral. Lineage: Eukaryota; Metazoa; Nematoda; Chromadorea; Rhabditida; Rhabditidae.
AUGUAUGUUAUUUCUUCCUCAAGGCCUUCCUUAAGACCUGUAGUACAAUUUUUGGAGACCCUGUCCUUUAGUAGGGUG